Cyprinodon variegatus (sheepshead minnow) is the source of this 2504-nucleotide long non-coding RNA. RefSeq lists it as uncharacterized. NCBI's taxonomy places the organism in Eukaryota, Metazoa, Chordata, Actinopteri, Cyprinodontiformes, Cyprinodontidae. The record is from RefSeq and is a predicted model, not a curated record. The transcript has 3 exons.
CCUUGGAGCCUGCAGAAAAACCAGAAUCACAGAGAAACUGUGCCUUAACAGAUCUGAGGACGGGACGGUGGUGGUGGGGGGGAGCCCCUUUUCAUCUCAGUGUCACUGCUUUUCACCUCCACUGGUGACUGGUGCUUCCACUGCACGCCGGGAUGCCAGACAUGGCAGAAUGCCAAGGGGCCCUGUGCCCUGGCAACUACUGCUUCUUACAGACUCCUCCUGAAACAUAGUCAUGAAUGUACAGACACACCUCCACAAAGUUCUGCUCUGAGCCUCCAAGCGCAGCAGCUCUGGCCAAACUGAAAUCAGACAGAGCUCUGAUGGAUAUAGACUGGGAGAGAGGAGAGAGUUCCUUGAUGUCGGAAAUAAAUCUGACAGGCCCCACCGGAUGAGGCCCAGCCUAAUCUUUUUCACUGACUUCACGCCGAAGGGAAAGACAGUAGAAGUGAACGGACUGUCAACAUGUGUCUGCAGCACGACGGGUUUGUCUCUGGUGUCCAGGGGUCAGUCUCCCAGGGGACCACUCCAAAGAACUCCAGCAACCCUCCAUCCUCUGCCUGACAUGCUUUUGCAAGAAGGUCAAAAAGGUUGUCUGAAUCAGCAGCGUGUCAAUAUCUACGUUUCUCACAAGCAAACAAGAUCAAGUAGCAAACUUAAGGGCAAUUUCCUUUUUCACAUGCAAACGGUGAAAAAGUUUUUCGCCAAAACUGUUUAAGGUAUUUUUAUAGAAUUGUUUUUUUUGUUUCUUUAAGCACAAGGAGACAAUAUGUAGAGAGGUAUUCUUGUAUUACUGAAAUCUCUGAUUUUUUUUUUUUUACUUUCUAACAAAGAGAGUUUAUACCCAUACAUAUAGGCUCACUGAUGCACAGUAAUAUAUCAAUCUAAAUAAAAUAAAUAUAAUUCCAGUAACCAACUGUUUGAAAAAAUAUCUGUAAUUCAGAGCAUGAAUCACUAUUUUAUCGUCCUUAUUCCAAACACUUUCACAAUUCCCAAAGACACGGAUAUUUAUGUUGUCUUAAUUAGAAACAUUGGCUGACCUUAUCGCCAUAUGAUGAUGGCUUGGGGGUGGAAUUGCUAUAUGAAUGCAGGCUGAAUCAUUUCCCUAAUAAAAUCUAACAUUGAAAAUUAGCUCCACUGAAGCGGACGCACGCAGAGCAGGAAAGCUGGUUGUCUCACACGUGUGGGUAGAACAAUGCAGAAUAAUGAAUUUGGUAUAUUAUUUAUUUCAUCAUUUAUUUCAGAUGUAGCUCAAAGAAGAAACAGGCAACAUCAUGUGCAGCGCCUUUAUUCCAGCUCAAGUCCCACAUUCACUCAAGUGCCAAAAAUCCUCCUAAUGAACGGUCAUUGAGACUGCUGCAUGAAUGGCAAUAACAUAUCCAUAUCAAAGAUCUCAUCUACACUCAUCCUUCCUCCGGCUCAAUGUGAGGCCUGUUCUCCGGCCACAUUAUUACUCUCAUCAUUUUAACAUGAAAGGGAGGAAACAAGUGCUGCAACACUACCAAGGAGACACCUUGAUCCCAGAGCAUUUGCAUUCGCCAGCUUGUUCAACCUGAUGUAUGAACGAGUUAGCAUUGGGCUCUGUGAUUGGUCGGCACUGAAAAGCAGAAGCAGAUACUCAGCUGCUGCUGCACAUGUUGUGUGUGCCCCCCAUCCCCAUCCUUAAUGUGCCACGCUCAGGCAGUGGCACUAGAGGGCAGUCCAUCCUGUUGCUUUUUGUUGUGAAGGAGGCAUCUGUUUUAGUGGGACAUUCAGGGAAAUAUUUUUUGAUUAUUUUUUAUUGUUGUGGAAUCCAUGAAAAAAAUAUUCAGGCAUUUUUGGAAUUCAAUAUUCUGUCAUUUAAAUUUGUGCCUGAAUGCUGUUUAUAAAAGGGACAACUUAUGAGUUGUCUUGUAAAUAGAGCAUAGAAAGUGAGCAAAAAUGUUGCUUUGAGAAAGCCUUUGAUUUACUGGAGUAGGAAGAUUAUGCACACAUCUCUACUCUGUAUGUGGCGCUAAUUAAAGGCACGCAACAAUGAAGGAUGGAAACCCCAAACCCAACAAUGCUAAUCAAAGAUUAAAAUAAUCUGAGAGGAGCGGUGAUUACUUCAAGGGCAGCCAGUCAUUUCAUUUCUCAGGCACAAGGCAGCAGAUUUUAGGUUUUAACUAAGUUGAGAUGUUAACAAUGUUUGCAAGGACAGGGUCACAUUUUCUUUGCCCAUCUUUCUCCGUCUUUGUUGGUGCUGGACCCUCUGUUAAUCGUGAAAUAAAUAAUGAAAGCCUCAACAUUGGCCGUUGGUGAAUAAGCUCUGGCAUAAGUUGGGGGAAAAAAGUAUCAUAUUAACUGAUGUUCCCAAUCACUGAAAGACAAAACAAAUUAAAUAUGGCACUGAAAAUGUGUUUAAUACCAUGUAGUAAUAUUUAUUAAAUGUAUUUUUAAAAAUGUGUUUAACAUAUAUGUCACUUGAUAUCAAUACACCAAUAUGUUCUUGGCACGGCCUGCAGUCUGCUUUCCUUUUCCUUUUUUAU